UGCCUAUACUGCAAGUUGAGCGCUGAAGGUUGGUACUUGUACCGACUGGAUGAGCAGCGAACGGGUGAGUAACGCGUGGGGAAUCUGCCUUUGAGCGGGGGACAACAUUUGGAAACGAAUGCUAAUACCGCAUAAAAACUUUAAACACAAGUUUUAAGUUUGAAAGAUGCAAUUGCAUCACUCAAAGAUGAUCCCGCGUUGUAUUAGCUAGUUGGUGAGGUAAAGGCUCACCAAGGCGAUGAUACAUAGCCGACCUGAGAGGGUGAUCGGCCACAUUGGGACUGAGACACGGCCCAAACUCCUACGGGAGGCAGCAGUAGGGAAUCUUCGGCAAUGGACGAAAGUCUGACCGAGCAACGCCGCGUGAGUGAAGAAGGUUUUCGGAUCGUAAAACUCUGUUGGUAGAGAAGAACGUUGGUGAGAGUGGAAAGCUCAUCAAGUGACGGUAACUACCCAGAAAGGGACGGCUAACUACGUGCCAGCAGCCGCGGUAAUACGUAGGUCCCGAGCGUUGUCCGGAUUUAUUGGGCGUAAAGCGAGCGCAGGUGGUUUAUUAAGUCUGGUGUAAAAGGCAGUGGCUCAACCAUUGUAUGCAUUGGAAACUGGUAGACUUGAGUGCAGGAGAGGAGAGUGGAAUUCCAUGUGUAGCGGUGAAAUGCGUAGAUAUAUGGAGGAACACCGGUGGCGAAAGCGGCUCUCUGGCCUGUAACUGACACUGAGGCUCGAAAGCGUGGGGAGCAAACAGGAUUAGAUACCCUGGUAGUCCACGCCGUAAACGAUGAGUGCUAGAUGUAGGGAGCUAUAAGUUCUCUGUAUCGCAGCUAACGCAAUAAGCACUCCGCCUGGGGGAGUACGACCGCAAGGUUGAAACUCAAAGGAAUUGACGGGGGCCCGCACAAGCGGUGGAGCAUGUGGUUUAAUUCGAAGCAACGCGAAGAACCUUACCAGGUCUUGACAUACUCGUGCUAUUCCUAGAAAAUAGGAAGUUCCUUCGGGACACGGGAUACAGGUGGUUGCAUGGUUGUCGUCAGCUCGUGUCGUGAGAUGUUGGGGUUAAGUCCCGCAACGAGCGCAACCCCUAUUGUUAGUUGCCAUCAUUAAGUUGGGGACUCUAACGAGACUGCCGGUGAUAACCGGAGGAAAGGUGGGGGAGGAAGGCCAAAACAUCAUGGCCCCUUAUAACCUGGGGGUACAACCUGGCUCCAAUGGAUUGGGUCAACCAAUUC
RNAcentral lists this ribosomal RNA (1226 nucleotides) under Lactococcus sp. RNAcentral describes it as "bacterial SSU rRNA". It matches the Rfam family "Bacterial small subunit ribosomal RNA", at positions 45 to 1287 of the family's 1533-position model. The record is from RNAcentral. Lineage: Bacteria; Bacillati; Bacillota; Bacilli; Lactobacillales; Streptococcaceae.